Molecule: ribosomal RNA, 775 nt
Filed under: uncultured bacterium
Lineage: Bacteria
Description: bacterial SSU rRNA
Rfam family: Bacterial small subunit ribosomal RNA
Source: RNAcentral
GGNUCAACCAUAGUUCGCUUUGGAAACUGUCAAACUUGAGUGCAGAAGGGGAGAGUGGAAUUCCAUGUGUAGCGGUGAAAUGCGUAGAUAUAUGGAGGANCACCGGUGGCGAAAGCGGCUNUCUGGUCUGUAACUGACGCUGAGGCUCGAAAGCGUGGGGAGCGANCAGGAUUAGAUACCCUGGUAGUCCACGCCGUAAACGAUGAGUGCUAGGUGUUGGNUCCUUUCCGGGAUUCAGUGCCGCAGCUAACGCAUUAAGCACUCCGCCUGGGGAGUACGACCGCAAGGUUGAAACUCAAAGGAAUUGACGGGGGCCCGCACAAGCGGUGGAGCAUGUGGUUUAAUUCGAAGCAACGCGAAGAACCUCACCAGGUCUUGACAUCCCGAUGCUAUUUCUAGAGAUAGAAAGUUACUUCGGUACAUCGGUGACAGGUGGUGCAUGGUUGUCGUCAGCUCGUGUCGUGAGAUGUUGGGUNNNNNNNNNNCAACGAGCGCAACCCCUAUUGUUAGUUGCCAUCAUUCAGUUGGGCACUCUAGCGAGACUGCCGGUAAUAAACCGGAGGAAGGUGGGGAUGACGUCAAAUCAUCAUGCCCCUUAUGACCUGGGCUACACACGUGCUACAAUGGUUGGUACAACGAGUUGCGAGUCGGUGACGGCAAGCUAAUCUCUUAAAGCCAAUCUCAGUUCGGAUUGUAGGCUGCAACUCGCCUACAUGAAGUCGGAAUCGCUAGUAAUCGCGGAUCAGCACGCCGCGGUGAAUACGUUCCCGGGCCU